Long non-coding RNA from Hippocampus comes (tiger tail seahorse), 797 nucleotides. RefSeq lists it as uncharacterized. The transcript has 2 exons. The record is from RefSeq and is a predicted model, not a curated record. NCBI's taxonomy places the organism in Eukaryota, Metazoa, Chordata, Actinopteri, Syngnathiformes, Syngnathidae.
UUUCAACGAAACCAGGUACAAUUAAAUGAAGACAAUUUUAAGGGCAAUAUAGUCAAAUGGUAUAAGACGUUGCCUCCGAGUCAUGAACCCUUGGUCCGAUCCCAGUUUUCCGCUGUGCUUAUUUAUGCGAACGUUGUACUGAGUGGGAAUCGAACAGUGACCGUCGGUGCCGGCAUCCAAAUUUUAUACCACUCGUCCACCAGUCCGCGGAACUCGCCGCAUUUCAUUAUGGGAUUUAACCUCCUUAUAUGCGAGCUGACUGCGUGGUGGAAGAUUCCGCAAGAGAUGUUCGAAUCUCUGUUCCUGCUCCAUUGACAAUUGCCGGACGAAUACAUUUGUCAGUGUAGCUAAAGCUGAGGCUCGAAAAAGCGCAUCAACAAGUUAGCAGCGAACUUAUUUCUGACCCAUAUGAUUGAAAACCAAGUUUAAGAACCCCCUGUCCGCCGGUACGGAAAUCAGCUCUGAAUCCAUAACUCCAAAUACUCGUAUUUUAUAUCCUCCUUAAAUUUUCCAUUGGAUUCAUUUCAAAAAUUAAACGGGCGGUCGUAGUUGUAGUUACUCAAAUUCGCCACCGGAGGGCAUCGUUUCACUCAAUUCAUUUUGAGUCAUCAUCACAACCUUUUUUUUUUCCUCCUUUUUCGGGGGCUUUAUUGAGAAUGAUCCCGCUGUACAAAGUGUGAAAUUUCAACAUGACAACUUCCAGCAAUACAUCGGGAAUCAGACAAACGGUGAUAAAAACGAUUAUAUGCAUGAACAGGAAAAACACAGUGCCAUUGGAAAAAAAAAGAUCAAAUAAA